This 460-nucleotide ribosomal RNA is filed under the name uncultured bacterium. RNAcentral's name for it is "partial 16S ribosomal RNA". It matches the Rfam family "Bacterial small subunit ribosomal RNA", at positions 338 to 795 of the family's 1533-position model. The record is from RNAcentral.
CCUACGGGAGGCAGCAGUGAGGAAUAUUGGUCAAUGGACGAGAGUCUGAACCAGCCAAGUAGCGUGAAGGAUGACUGCCCUAUGGGUUGUAAACUUCUUUUAUAUGGGAAUAAAAUGUUCCACGUGUGGGAUUUUGUAUGUACCAUAUGAAUAAGGAUCGGCUAACUCCGUGCCAGCAGCCGCGGUAAUACGGAGGAUCCGAGCGUUAUCCGGAUGUAUUGGGUUUAAAGGGAGCGUAGGUGGAUUGUUAAGUCAGUUGUGAAAGUUUGCGGCUCAACCGUAAAAUUGCAGUUGAAACUGGCAGUCUUGAGUACAGUAGAGGUGGGCGGAAUUCGUGGUGUAGCGGUGAAAUGCUUAGAUAUCACCAAGAACUCCGAUUGCGAAGGCAGCUCACUGGACUGCAACUGACACUGAGGCUCGAAAGUGUGGGUAUCAAACAGGAUUAGAUACCCCGGUAGUC